This 497-nucleotide ribosomal RNA is filed under the name uncultured bacterium. RNAcentral describes it as "partial 16S ribosomal RNA". It matches the Rfam family "Bacterial small subunit ribosomal RNA", at positions 28 to 507 of the family's 1533-position model. The record is from RNAcentral.
GACGAACGCUGGCGGCGUGCCUAAUACAUGCAAGUUGAGCGCUGAAGGUUGGUCCUUGUACCAACUGGAUGAGCAGCGAACGGGUGAGUAACGCGUGGGGAAUCUGCCUUUGAGCGGGGGACAACAUUUGGAAACGAAUGCUAAUACCGCAUAAAAACUUUAAACACAAGUUUUAAGUUUGAAAGAUGCAAUUGCAUCGCUCAAAGAUGAUCCCGCGUUGUAUUAGCUAGUUGGUGAGGUAAAGGCUCACCAAGGCGAUGAUACAUAGCCGACCUGAGAGGGUGGUCGGCCACAUUGGGACUGAGACACGGCCCAAACUCCUACGGGAGGCAGCAGUAGGGAAUCUUCGGCAAUAGACGAAAGUCUGACCGAGCAACGCCGCGUGAGUGAAGAAGGUUUUCGGAUCGUAAAACUCUGUUGGUAGAGAAGAACGUUGGUGAGAGUGGAAAGCUCAUCAAGUGACGGUAACUACCCAGAAAGGGACGGCUAACUACGUG